Molecule: small RNA, 2202 nt
Filed under: Pan troglodytes (chimpanzee)
Lineage: Eukaryota; Metazoa; Chordata; Mammalia; Primates; Hominidae
Description: retained intron
Source: RNAcentral
GGCUUUUGAACCAAAGUGCCCUGGACCAGGUCAGGGCCUACAGCUGUGCUGUCCAGUACAGGAGCCACGAGCCAAAUGUGGCAUUUGAAUUUGAAUUAACUUAGAAAUUCAUUUCCUCACCUGUAGUGGCCACCUCUAUAUUGAGGUGCUCAAUAAGCAAAAGUGGUCAGUGGCUGCUGUAUUGGACAGCACAGAAAAAGAUUUCCAUCACCACAGAAAGGUCGGCUGGCAGCACUGGCCAAGGUGAUGGGGUGUGCUGCACAGUGUAUGUCACUGUGUAGUGGAUGGAGUUUACUGUUUGUGGAAUAAAAACGGCUGUUUCCUUGGUUCUUUGCCUCUUGUCCUUGAGUCCUGGGAAGAGCUGGGGACUGGGGAUUGUUUGCUGAGUGCCUGAACAGGACCUCCUACCCUAUGCCUGCAACCCCCUCCACAAAAAACAAAAAACCCUACCUCCUCCCACCUGGCCAGAAAUUUCUUCUCCUGAUCUGCUCCCCCUGUCCUCCCCAUCCCCAUCUGAUUGUGAUUCCCAGAACUCCCCGGGUUGUUUGGGAGUGUUUCUGAAAGCAUAAUCCAUGGCCAUGGAAAUGAAUCAUCCUACUUCUUGGGGGCAUUGAGAGUCAGUCCACAUCAGCAAGGGUAGAGUGGAGAGGUGGGAGGGCUCUGGGUGGUGGGUCUCUAACUGUAGUGUGCAUCAGAGUCACUGGGGGCACUUGUGAAAAUAAUGUAUGUUCCUGGGGUCCAGAUCCUACUAAUUCAGUUGGUCUGGGUGUGGCCCAGACUUUGACUUUUUAGCAGGCUUCUCAGGAGCUCCUGCUGUGCUCCAUCCUCAGACCACCCCCAGGCUUUGAAGCCAGGCUCAUUGGAUUGAAGCCCGCCCCACCCACCUCCCUUGCUGGUUACAUAACCCUGGAUUUCUGUAAAACAAGCCUUUAGGCGGUUGCCUCCCACUGCCCUCAUCUUCUAUCUUUUCCUCUGGCACACUUGGCAUCAACUGUGUGUUAUUUGCAGUUCCCCCCCACCUCCUACCCCACUCAGUUCUCCCAUCAUAGUGGUUUGGCCUAGAAUGCCCUAUUCCACCAACCAUGCACACCUCUCAACUGCCUGGUUCCCUCUUAUAAAACCAGAUGAGGCUGGCCGGGCACGGUGGCUCACGCCUGUAAUCCCAGCACUUUGGGAAGCCAAGGCGGGCAGAUCACAAGGUCAAGAGAUCGAGACCAUCCUGGCCAACAUGGUGAAACCCUGUCUCUACUAAAAAUACAAAAAAAUUUAGCUGGGCAUAGUGGCACGCGCCUGUAGUCCCAGCUACUCGGUAGGCUGAGGCAGGAGAAUCUCUUGAACCUGGGAGGCAGAGGUUGCAGUGAGCCAAGAUUGCGCCACUGUACUCCAGCCUGGUGACAGAGUGAGACUCUGUCUCAAACACACACACACACACAAACACACACACCCCAGAUGAGAAGUUGCUGCCUCCAGGAAGUUUCCCUUGACGUGUCCGUGCCCCACGCCUUUGCUUCCAGAUUGCCUUGGACUUAACACGUGUUCCUUAUCAGCUGGCUGCUGUCUUUUGACUUCCACCAGAUGGUGUGCUUCCUGGAGGCACAGGUUCUGUCUUUCAUUAAGACCUGACCCAUCUCAGGACGUAGGAAGCACUCUGGGCAAGAGGUAUGAGCCGGGAUGAAGUGGACUCCUUGUCUGGAGGUGGUGCUACACACCUUGGAGGGGCUCCUGGGAGCUACUGAGAAUGUCCCCUAAGUCAGUAUUCCUGCCUCAGCUGAAAUGCCAGUCUUCAGCCUCAUCUACUGCACACUUGAGUCCAUGAGAUUUUAGAGUGGUAAGUGACCUUUGGGGUCUCAGUUUUCCUAUCUGUAAAGGGAGUGGGCUGGACAAUGAACAGCUGUUCUCCAUUCUUUUGUUAUUGGUUCCCAUCCAGAGCCUCCCAGCUAGUUGUCUCAACAUCCCAGGGGAGAAAGCAUAGCUCUUUGUCCAUUGGUUUAUUUAUUCAAUUUAGGAAUAAUGAGUUUAUUGUUUUAUAUGAAUAACCAUACUUAUUUAAAAGAUCAAACUAAACUAAAUAGUACAAACAAGCGAAAUCUCUCCCCAAAGUCUACUAUGGUGCUGUGCAACAGAAAUAUAAUACAAGCCAUAAAUUGAAUUUUCAAUUUCCUAGUAGCUUUUUUAAAAAGUAAAAAGAGGGGCCAGGCACAG